GACGAACGCUGGCGGCGUGCCUAAUACAUGCAAGUAGAACGCUGAAGGAGGAGCUUGCUUCUCUGGAUGAGUUGCGAACGGGUGAGUAACGCGUAGGUAACCUGCCUGGUAGCGGGGGAUAACUAUUGGAAACGAUAGCUAAUACCGCAUAAUAGUAGUUGUUGCAUGACAACUAUUUGAAAGGUGCAAUUGCAUCACUACCAGAUGGACCUGCGUUGUAUUAGCUAGUUGGUGAGGUAACGGCUCACCAAGGCGACGAUACAUAGCCGACCUGAGAGGGUGAUCGGCCACACUGGGACUGAGACACGGCCCAGACUCCUACGGGAGGCAGCAGUAGGGAAUCUUCGGCAAUGGACGGAAGUCUGACCGAGCAACGCCGCGUGAGUGAAGAAGGUUUUCGGAUCGUAAAGCUCUGUUGUAAGAGAAGAACGAGUGUGAGAGUGGAAAGUUCACACUGUGACG
This 462-nucleotide ribosomal RNA is filed under the name Streptococcus mitis. Its description in RNAcentral is "bacterial SSU rRNA". It matches the Rfam family "Bacterial small subunit ribosomal RNA", at positions 28 to 474 of the family's 1533-position model. Lineage: Bacteria; Bacillati; Bacillota; Bacilli; Lactobacillales; Streptococcaceae. The record is from RNAcentral.